RNAcentral lists this transfer RNA (72 nucleotides) under Tetraponera aethiops. RNAcentral describes it as "tRNA-Glu". The record is from RNAcentral. Lineage: Eukaryota; Metazoa; Arthropoda; Insecta; Hymenoptera; Formicidae.
ACUUAUGAAGUUUAAACUUAAACAUUACAUUUUCGAUGUAAAAAUUACUAACCAUUCAAUUAGUCGUAAGUA